RNAcentral lists this small RNA (671 nucleotides) under Pongo abelii (Sumatran orangutan). Its description in RNAcentral is "retained intron". Lineage: Eukaryota; Metazoa; Chordata; Mammalia; Primates; Hominidae. The record is from RNAcentral.
AAAGCAUACCAGAUCUCACCAGAGAGGUAAGUGGGAACUGAGAGAAGAUGAGACCUGGGGAGGGGCAACCUCACAUGAUACAGGAGAACGCAUGGCAGGAUCCCUUCCUCAGGGAGCACAGGAGCUCUGAGACUCAGCAAGGCUGUCCUGGAGGGCUCAGGGAUGGGAGAGUACACAGAUUCACAACUCAUUCAGAACUGUAGAAGAUGAUGGAUGUGACCAAGAUCACUUUAGUCCUAGGGGACUACAGAAGGAAAAAGACAAGAGGCAGUAGGGUAUCUGUGUGUCUUCCUGCUGAGCACACUUCCUUUAGUGACCCCUGAUUGCCUCCUCAAGUCGCAGACACUAUGCUGCCUCCCGUGGCCCUGCCCAGUGUGUCCUGGAUGCUGCUCCCCUGCCUCAUGCUCCUAUCUCAGGAGCCUCUAGGUGAAGAACCCCAGAAGGAACUGCCCUCUCCACGGAUCAGCUGUCCCAAAAGCUCCAAGGCCUAUGGCUCCCACUGCUAUGCCUUGUUUUUGUCAGCAAAAUCCUGGAUGGAUGCAGAUGUGAGUGGUUAGAUGUGGGGUUGGAGGUGACAGGGGAAAGUCCAUGCAGGUCUCAGGGGGAGGAGGGUCUCCUUCAGGAGAGUUCCUUGGGAAUGAGGAUGAACAUGCUUAUCUUUCACACAGUCC